Molecule: transfer RNA, 79 nt
Filed under: Caudoviricetes sp.
Lineage: Duplodnaviria; Heunggongvirae; Uroviricota; Caudoviricetes
Description: tRNA-Ala
Rfam family: tRNA
About the family: Transfer RNA (tRNA) molecules are approximately 80 nucleotides in length. Their secondary structure includes four short double-helical elements and three loops (D, anti-codon, and T loops).
Source: RNAcentral
CGGCGUGUAGCUCAAUUGGCAGAGCGCCCUUUCUUCGCGUAGAGAGGGAGGUUGUGGGUUCGAAUCCUGCCACGCCGCC